RNAcentral lists this ribosomal RNA (393 nucleotides) under Triticum aestivum (bread wheat). RNAcentral describes it as "partial small subunit ribosomal RNA". The record is from RNAcentral. Lineage: Eukaryota; Viridiplantae; Streptophyta; Magnoliopsida; Poales; Poaceae.
AUGGACCAUUCCAUCCCUUUUUCCCGUGCAUAUGCAUCGGAUUCGGAUGACGAAGGUCCCGAUGAACAAGUUGAUGAGGAGGGGUUCACGGUGAAGGAGGCCGAAGCUUUCGAGAAGGUAUUCGGUCGGGAUCACAAGACACCAUUGUUCAAGAAUGUUAGUCUCGCGGAUGAAGCCAUUGUGGAUGGUGGCAAAUCUAUAUCUCUUGGGGUUAGGCCAAGCUCUCACCGUGAUUUGGGAAACGACAAGAACCGGAUUGCUAAAGGGUCUAAGUUCGAAACCUUCUUGGAAUUGAAGAUGUGGCUCGACAACUACUCGGUUACGCAUUAUCGUCCACACAAGGUGGUGCACUCGGACGUCAAUGUGCGCUACACUGUUGCAUGUGCAUGUUAA